AUGAACGCUGGCGGCGUGCCUAAUACAUGCAAGUCGAGCGAACAGAUAAGGAGCUUGCUCCUUUGACGUUAGCGGCGGACGGGUGAGUAACACGUGGGUAACCUACCUAUAAGACUGGGAUAACUUCGGGAAACCGGAGCUAAUACCGGAUAACAUUUGGAACCGCAUGGUUCUAAAGUGAAAGAUGGUUUUGCUAUCACUUAUAGAUGGACCCGCGCCGUAUUAGCUAGUUGGUAAGGUAACGGCUUACCAAGGCAACGAUACGUAGCCGACCUGAGAGGGUGAUCGGCCACACGGGAAGUGAGACACGGUCCAGACUGCUACGGGAGGCAGCAGUAGGGAAUCUUCCGCAAUGGGCGAAAGCCUGACGGAGCAACGCCGCGUGAGUGAUGAAGGGUUUCGGCUCGUAAAACUCUGUUAUUAGGGAAGAACAAACGUGUAAGUAACUGUGCACGUCUUGACGGUACCUAAUCAGAAAGCCACGGCUAACUACGUG
RNAcentral lists this ribosomal RNA (496 nucleotides) under uncultured bacterium. RNAcentral describes it as "partial 16S ribosomal RNA". It matches the Rfam family "Bacterial small subunit ribosomal RNA", at positions 29 to 507 of the family's 1533-position model. The record is from RNAcentral.